AAGUAGAUUCAUAAACAAAGUAGAUAAUAACAAUAAAAACUAAACAUCCAAUAGAAUAAAGACAUUUUCUGCCCCUCCUCCUCUCUCUUCUCCUGCUAUUUGACUUCCUGUUUUUUUCCACUGAACCGUUUCCAAGGAUGGGCGCGCACACACGCAGAGAGAGAGAGAGAGAGAGAGAGAGAGAGGCACAAUGAAAGAACAGAACGGUGUCUUUCGUUCAAUCUUCACUUGGUCUGUCUAUGUAUUUAUACCUACCAGACCACCUGUGUGUCUGUAUCUCUUCCUCCUUUGUCUCUUCCGUCCUCCGUGCACACCCUGUCUUCCUCCACACAAGCUCCUCUCACUGCUAAACCGAUGAUGGAAACAGACUACGUGCCGAGUCCAGUGGGGGAGGGGCCAUGGCUGGGUGCCGCGGUAACAAAGAGAAGGGAAUGGAAGCUUCCCAGUCAGAUAUGCAAAUGAC
This 463-nucleotide long non-coding RNA is filed under the name Salmo salar (Atlantic salmon). RNAcentral describes it as "lncRNA (ENSSSAG00000115402.1)". Lineage: Eukaryota; Metazoa; Chordata; Actinopteri; Salmoniformes; Salmonidae. The record is from RNAcentral.